This 434-nucleotide ribosomal RNA is filed under the name uncultured Dorea sp. Its description in RNAcentral is "partial 16S ribosomal RNA". It matches the Rfam family "Bacterial small subunit ribosomal RNA", at positions 341 to 792 of the family's 1533-position model. The record is from RNAcentral. Lineage: Bacteria; Bacillati; Bacillota; Clostridia; Lachnospirales; Lachnospiraceae.
ACGGGAGGCAGCAGUGGGGAAUAUUGCACAAUGGGGGAAACCCUGAUGCAGCGACGCCGCGUGAGUGAAGAAGUAUUUCGGUAUGUAAAGCUCUAUCAGCAGGGAAGAUAAUGACGGUACCUGACUAAGAAGCACCGGCUAAAUACGUGCCAGCAGCCGCGGUAAUACGUAUGGUGCAAGCGUUAUCCGGAUUUACUGGGUGUAAAGGGAGCGUAGACGGCAUGGCAAGUCUGAAGUGAAAGCUCGGGGCUCAACCCCGGAACUGCUUUGGAAACUGUCAAGCUAGAGUAUCGGAGAGGUAAGUGGAAUUCCUAGUGUAGCGGUGAAAUGCGUAGAUAUUAGGAGGAACACCAGUGGCGAAGGCGGCUUACUGGACGAUAACUGACGUUGAGGCUCGAAAGCGUGGGGAGCAAACAGGAUUAGAUACCCUGGUA